UACGUAGGUGGCAAGCGUUGUCCGGAAUUAUUGGGCGUAAAGCGCGCGCAGGCGGUCCUUUAAGUCUGAUGUGAAAACCUAGGGCUUAACUCUGGGCGUGCAGUGGGUACGGGCAGACUAGAGUGCGGUAGGGGAGACUGGAAUUCCUGGUGUAGCAGUGAAAUGCGUAGAUAUCAGGAGGAACACCGAUGGCGAAGGCAGGUCACUGGGCCGCAACUGACGCUGAGGAGCGAAAGCAUGGGUAGCGAACAGG
RNAcentral lists this ribosomal RNA (253 nucleotides) under uncultured bacterium. RNAcentral's name for it is "partial 16S ribosomal RNA". It matches the Rfam family "Bacterial small subunit ribosomal RNA", at positions 524 to 776 of the family's 1533-position model. The record is from RNAcentral.